UCGGUAAAUUCGUAAGCAGAAAUUUAGGGUUCAUCAUGAAUCCCGUCUAUAAAUUUUUGCUGAAUCGCAGGUUUUCAAUUAUCAUCCCUGCAACGAUUUUCUCCUACUUCUUCUUCAAAUUUGUUUCCGGUUUUUUCUUAUUUUUACUCUCUUCACCUUCAAUCGGAGAGAUGCGUUUGAGUUCUUGAAUCGUAAGCUGUUUUUCUUUCUAUUUUAACAUUUCGAUGAAAUGGGUUAUUCUGAAUUGGCUCUAUCAUCGAGUCAGCAGCAGGCGCCGUUUUAAUGGCGAUCCGUCUGCCGCAUGGAGCCGAUAUUUAGUUACCGGAAGAAGAUCCUUGAAACUUAAUCGUUUCAAGAUACAAUGUCCGGUCGACAUUCUUUAAAUUUUAACCCCGUCAUCUGCAAUUUUGGAUAUUUUUUUUAGGUUUUUGAAAUUGUAUGGAAAGAAAUUUUGUAUAAUUAGGGUUUGAAUUGGCAUUAAAUUCAGACACGGGUGUUUGUACUUUAAUCUUCCAACAAACAACCUUUUGCACGGUGCCUAUAUUGAGCUACUGAACACGAUUGGGGGAAUCUAUCAUUCUAUGUGGUAUCCUUCAAAUUUUAAGCAGCGAAAUUUUUAUUCAUUUCCAACUUUUUAAACUAUUUUAUUUUAAACUUUAGAAUUAUUCUUUGAUCAUACACUAUCUUUUCUUUAUUUAGCUUAGUGAAAGUGUUUUUGUGUUACAGAAGUUGAUUUGCAAAUCUGCAUAUUUGUUAGAAUGUUUCUUUAACAUAAAUAAAGCGACUUUAUCCUUCAAUUUGUGCGAAUCCUUGUUGAUAUUAACUGUGGAUUUGUGAUUUAUGUAGUGCGCCAAGCGUUUCCUGUUGGAACAAUCCAGGUUGUGGAGGUUUCAGGAGAGAUGAGAAACGAGAAACGACCAACCCUUGAACAUAAUUGGUAUGAUAUCAAUCUGGGUUGUAAUUGUUGUAGGUAUACAUGAAGUUUAGAUGCUGUAAAAAUCUUAAGAAUUUGAUGUCUUUAUUGACGACCAAGGCAGAUAUGGAACCUGUAAUAUUCAUUUAUAAUUUGCAAUAUCAUGUAUAUUUAUUUGAAAAUGAAUUUUAUAAAUACCAAACAAAAUAUAUUGGCAUAAUCCUUAGACAGUAA
Molecule: non-coding RNA, 1147 nt
Organism: Benincasa hispida (wax gourd)
Lineage: Eukaryota; Viridiplantae; Streptophyta; Magnoliopsida; Cucurbitales; Cucurbitaceae
Source: RefSeq, a predicted model, not a curated record